Long non-coding RNA from Saccostrea cuccullata (small rock oyster), 733 nucleotides. RefSeq lists it as uncharacterized. The record is from RefSeq and is a predicted model, not a curated record. The transcript has 3 exons. NCBI's taxonomy places the organism in Eukaryota, Metazoa, Mollusca, Bivalvia, Ostreida, Ostreidae.
UAUUCCCAAUUCAAAAAUAUUUUACACAAUUCGAUUUACAUUCAUUUGUUGAUUCUAUAAGUAAAUGAUUAUUUUACGACAUUUGCCAUAAGCGCAUGGCGAGUAAACAAAAAUGUGUUGUGAUGUUGAUGACUUUCCUGACUCGCCGGUUAGGCUGGCUUUGUUCAUUUGAAGCUUCGUUUUUCAUUAAAAAAUGAAGUGCAGCAAGUACAAACAUCGUCAUAAACUACGGCCAAAUGUACGACCCCUGUCUCUCAUUAUUGAUACGAUUCUAGAGCGGAUUCUGGACCGUGGCCUGAGUCAAUAAGUUCAAGUUGAUGUUUCUGAUGGAGAUGACUUGUAAGGAAAGAUCUUUUUCUGAAUAAUGUCUGUUACGUUGCCUUUUCGUCCUAAAGAUGAACUAAACAUGCAUGAUGCUAAAUGAACACAAAAGUAUUUGUAAAUGAAGGAGAAAACAAAAGCCCGGGAAUGCUAGGACCUAACGACUGCCAAAGCUUGAAAUUUCUGAUGUGAUAUCAACACUAUUCAGUAUUUCAUUUGGAACAGAAAAAAUCUGCAGACUGAGAUACUUGUACUGAGGAAAUACCUGCUGUUGAAGAAAAAAUUACCCAAGACUUGUUUAGGUAGAAACAACAAUAUGCAGGUAGUUCAAAUUGCUGCAUCUAUUGGAGCACCCCACCCAUUGUCGUUAGGAAUUUUUCUUGAAUUUCCAGCAUUUACAAAAAUGCACCUU